GGAGGAGAUGCUAGUUGGGAAUGAUGUGUGCCAGGAGCUCCUGCUGUGGAUAGCCUCCAGCCUGUGCCAGAGGGGAGUGGAGAUGUGGAUCACAGCCUUGAGCCCCAGGGAGCGGCUGGUGCUGGGGAACUAAGAGAUCCCAAUGUCUCCUGGACUACAACGCCCGAGAUUGUGGUUGGUUGCUUGACAUUUAAAAGUCAACACUUGCACCAGAUACCGGAGUACUACCUGAGAGAUGAGUGACCUCUGCUGCCCCUCCUUUGCACUCUGAUGGUGACCAUGAUACUCAGAAGUGGCCUCAGGUGUCUUCACAACCAUUAUCAAAGGGAGGAACAAGAAGCGGUGAGAAGUAAAGGAAAAAUUACAUGGCCUGCAGAGCCACACUGAGGAAAGUCUACAGGUACCUCAAGUAAUACCUGGCCAAGAAUACUUUCCCCAUGGAGACUGCAAUCGUGCCCAGCACACAAGUACUCACUUCUGUUGACCAAAACAGUUUUGAAGCGUCAACAUUUUCAUACACUUUGCAACUCUCCAAGACAAUUUUGUAACAAAAACAAAUCUAAAUACUGCAAGUAUUUACUAUGACAAAACUCAAUAGGACUUAAAAACCAGUUCUUAUUUAAGAGAUUCCAGAGAAACUAUUAUAAUGAGUUCAUUAGAAAUAAAAAUAAACACAAUGGCCGCCAUUUAAAAAGUAACCAUCUGCCAACUGUUCAAACUCAACUGUAUCUGGCAUGCCAGACCUUUCCUCCUCCUUAGGUAAUAACAGUGAUAUCUGUGCAGUAACUAGGAACUUUUUUCUUUUAAUAUUGACCAUUAAUUUACAAUUGCACUGGUUCACGAGAAAAAUUUAACUACAGACAAUUCUACUCCAUCAAUGUAUCAAAUAUGAACAAUAGGCCUGAUGUUCAGUUGUGUCAAACCUCUUUGUUUAGAGAGCAAAAAGGAUGAAAAGCAGCCAGAUCAGUGGGGGGGAAUCUGCAGCUGCUCAGAGCUGGCAUAGCUACCCCCUGUGUUCCUCUCUCAGCCCUGGCAAAGCACAGUGCAUGGGGGACAGUGGAGGCUACAUGCUGGCUCUGUUCAGCUGGCAUGUGGUCCCUUAGGGACCAUCAGACCUGACUUCUCUAAUUUAUGCUGGGGCCCAGCUGGUGGAGAUACAACCUGAGAAUCAGGAAGGCAUAGUCUAUUUCCCAAAACUUCUAUCCCAUGCUAUGAUGAGAAGCUCAGCACAGCAGAGAAUCUCCACCAAUAAUUCACCUACAUGUAUAUGCUGUGUAUGAAUUUACUGCUGCUUUUGUGGUUAAGAUGUGCAUUAACCCUUGCAAUAAAAACAUUGUAUUAUGCCACUCUAAUAUUAUGGAUUACAAUAAUGCUGUUACAGUAUUUUGGAUUAUUCUAGAAUCUAUAAUCAUAUGUAAACUAAGCACAGCUGUGCUUAAAAAAGCUAAGGUUAAAGUCAAGCAGUCAAAUUAGGAAAUGGCAUAAUUAAGCUUGCCUAUGCAAUCUUAAUUUGGUCCCAUUGUGUAUGCAUUAUGAUAGUCUUUAAUUACAUGGCUGUAUCAAAUGCACAAGAGGGGAAAAGUAAAGUUUUUACAGGCAACCUUAAUUUUAGUAUUUCCCAGCUUUUGAGUGCUUGACUUCACAGCCUUAAUUUUCUUCACAUUGUAUGCAAUUGCUUAUUUAAUUUAAAUAAAAGCAAGGAAAACUG
This is a long non-coding RNA of Chelonia mydas (Green sea turtle), 1708 nucleotides long. RefSeq lists it as uncharacterized. The transcript has 4 exons. The record is from RefSeq and is a predicted model, not a curated record. NCBI's taxonomy places the organism in Eukaryota, Metazoa, Chordata, Testudines, Cheloniidae.